This is a long non-coding RNA of Canis lupus familiaris (dog), 882 nucleotides long. RefSeq lists it as uncharacterized. The record is from RefSeq and is a predicted model, not a curated record. The transcript is spliced from 3 exons. Lineage: Eukaryota; Metazoa; Chordata; Mammalia; Carnivora; Canidae.
CAUGACUGAAUGUGCUUCUGUCCAUCAUCUGGGUCAUAUAUAGUUCAAUGCGAGCUGAGCAGACAGGGCUGCAAGGAAAUCUGGCGCAGUUCAAUACCUCGUCUAGCCUGGGUUCCAGUAUUUAAUUUUUUUUACUGACAAACUCAUUUCUCUACCGGGACAGGAUGCUGUGCUGGCUGGAAGUUCCAUUUCUACAGCAAGAAUCCUAUCUGGAAACACAGAAGUUGUCCUCUAGCCACAGCAGCUCGAACUUUUUUGAUUGUUGUUGCUGCUUUCUCCCUUCACCCCUACCCCCUUUUGACAAAGAUCCAACUGUAAAAAGUCUUACGUAACAGUUCAGGACUACUUCGGUUCUUUUACUGGUAUAUCAAGAGGCCUCAAGAGGACUAUGAAAACAAUUACUUCUCCAACAUGGAGCAAUGCGGGUUUCAAUAUUUUGUAGAAUCUCUGGAAAAGGAAAAGAGGUGACUCCUAUUCUACACUGAUAAAUAAAAUUACGAUUCGAUAUCUGUUGAUUCUCAUGGAAUGGAAAAGUAUAAAUGGGACACCUGGGUGACUCAGCAAUUGAGCGUCUGCCUUUGGCUCAGGGUGUGAUCAAGUCCUGCAUUGGGCUCCUUGCAUGAAGCAUGCUUCUCCUCCUCUACCUGUGUCUCUGCCUCUCUUUCUGUGUCUCUCAUGAAUAAAUAAAAAUCUUAAAAAAAAAAAAAAAGAAUUGUCUAAAUCACAUUUGGCUAGAGAUUCUAUGCAGAAAUGUUAAAUGAGUUAGGCUUACUUGGCCCAGCAAGAAGAAUAAUGUAACAAUAAUCUUAAUGAAGGCCUUUCCUGGAAGAUGAGCAGGAGCUGUUUUCAACUGCUAUUAAGUGCAGAAAAGGAGAAUACAUU